UCGAUCAUAUGAGCCUCCAAAUUUGGG
Molecule: non-coding RNA, 27 nt
Filed under: Bombyx mori (domestic silkworm)
Lineage: Eukaryota; Metazoa; Arthropoda; Insecta; Lepidoptera; Bombycidae
Source: RNAcentral